GGGGAAUUUUCCGCAAUGGGCGAAAGCUUGACGGAGCAACGCCGCGUGAGUGAUGAAGGCCUUCGGGUCGUAAAGCUCUGUCCUAAGGGAAGAACACCUCAGUAGAUAAUAUCUGCUGGGAUUGACGGUACCUUUGGAGGAAGCCUCGGCUAAUUACGUGCCAGCAGCCGCGGUAAUACGUAAGAGGCAAGCGUUGCCCGGAAUCACUGGGCGUGAAGGGUGCGCAGGCGGUCUAGUAAGUCAAGAGUGAAAUCCAUCGGCUCAACCGGUGAACUGCUUUUGAAACUACUAGACUUGAGAAUAGGAGAAGAGAGUGGAAUUCCUGGUGUAGUGGUGAAAUACGUAGAUAUCAGGAAGAAUACCAAUGGCGAAAGCAGCUCUCUAGCCUAAUUCUGACGCUGAGGUACGAAAGCUAGGGUAUCAAAUGGGAUUAGAUACCCCAGUAGUC
This 448-nucleotide ribosomal RNA is filed under the name uncultured Bacillota bacterium. RNAcentral's name for it is "bacterial SSU rRNA". It matches the Rfam family "Bacterial small subunit ribosomal RNA", at positions 356 to 795 of the family's 1533-position model. The record is from RNAcentral. Lineage: Bacteria; Bacillati; Bacillota.